This is a small nuclear RNA of Homo sapiens (human), 164 nucleotides long. The record is from Ensembl. Lineage: Eukaryota; Metazoa; Chordata; Mammalia; Primates; Hominidae.
AUACUUACCUGGCAGGGGAGAUACCAUGAUCACAAAGGUGGUUUUCCCAGGACGAGGCUUAUCCAUUGCACUCCAGAUGUGCUGACCCCUGCGAUUUCCCCAAAUGUGGGAAACUCAACUGCAUAAUUUGUGGUAGUGGGGGACUGCAUUCGCGCUUUCCCCUG